This 484-nucleotide ribosomal RNA is filed under the name uncultured bacterium. RNAcentral's name for it is "partial 16S ribosomal RNA". It matches the Rfam family "Bacterial small subunit ribosomal RNA", at positions 30 to 507 of the family's 1533-position model. The record is from RNAcentral.
AUUGAACGCUGGCGGCAGGCCUAACACAUGCAAGUCGAGCGGAUGAAGGGUGCUUGUUCCUGGUUUCCGCGGCGGACGCGUGUGUAAUGCCUAGGAAUCUGCCUGGUAGUGGGGGAUAACGUCCGGAAACGGGCGCUAAUACCGCAUACGUCCUGAGGGAGAAAGAGGGGGAUCUUCGGACCUCACGCUCUCAGAUGAGCCUAGGUCGGAUUAGCUAGUUGGUGGGGUAAAGGCUUACCAAGCCGACGAUCCGUAACUGGUCUGAGAGGAGGAUCAGUCACACUGGAACUGAGACACGGUCCAGACUCCUACGAGAGGCAGCAGUCGGGUAUAUUGGACAAUGGGCGAAAGCCUGAUCCAGCCAUCCCGCGUCUGUGAAGAAGGUCUUCGGAUUGUAAAGAACUUUAAGUUGGGAGGAAGGGCAGUAAGUUAAGACCUUGCGGUUUUGACGUUACCAACAGAAUAAGCACCGGCUAACUACGUG